GUCCACGCCGUAAACGAUGGGCGCUAGGUGUGGGGGGUGUCGACUCCCUCCGUGCCGAAGCUAACGCAUUAAGCGCCCCGCCUGGGGAGUACGGCCGCAAGGCUAAAACUCAAAGGAAUUGACGGGGACCCGCACAAGCAGCGGAGCAUGUGGUUUAAUUCGACGCAACGCGAAGAACCUUACCUGGGCUUGACAUGUUGGUGACAAACGUGGAAACACGUCUUCUUCGGACACCAUCACAGGUGGUGCAUGGCUGUCGU
This 260-nucleotide ribosomal RNA is filed under the name uncultured bacterium. RNAcentral's name for it is "partial 16S ribosomal RNA". It matches the Rfam family "Bacterial small subunit ribosomal RNA", at positions 793 to 1055 of the family's 1533-position model. The record is from RNAcentral.